AGUCAGCGGCGGACGGGUGAGUAACACGUGGGCAACCUGCCUGUAAGACUGGGAUAACUCCGGGAAACCGGGGCUAAUACCGGAUAAUUCUUUCCCUCACAUGAGGGAAAGCUGAAAGAUGGUUUCGGCUAUCACUUACAGAUGGGCCCGCGGCGCAUUAGCUAGUUGGUGAGGUAACGGCUCACCAAGGCAACGAUGCGUAGCCGACCUGAGAGGGUGAUCGGCCACACUGGGACUGAGACACGGCCCAGACUCCUACGGGAGGCAGCAGUAGGGAAUCUUCCGCAAUGGACGAAAGUCUGACGGAGCAACGCCGCGUGAGUGAUGAAGGUUUUCGGAUCGUAAAACUCUGUUGUUAGGGAAGAACAAGUACCGGAGUAACUGCCGGUACCUUGACGGUACCUAACCAGAAAGCCACGGCUAACUACGUGCCAGCAGCCGCGGUAAUACGUAGGUGGCAAGCGUUGUCCGGAAUUAUUGGGCGUAAAGCGCGCGCAGGCGGUUCCUUAAGUCUGAUGUGAAAGCCCCCGGCUCAACCGGGGAGGGUCAUUGGAAACUGGGGAACUUGAGUGCAGAA
RNAcentral lists this ribosomal RNA (577 nucleotides) under Cytobacillus firmus. RNAcentral describes it as "bacterial SSU rRNA". It matches the Rfam family "Bacterial small subunit ribosomal RNA", at positions 90 to 653 of the family's 1533-position model. Lineage: Bacteria; Bacillati; Bacillota; Bacilli; Caryophanales; Bacillaceae. The record is from RNAcentral.